GAUGAACGCUGGCGGCGUGCCUAAUACAUGCAAGUCGAGCGAACAGACGAGGAGCUUGCUCCUCUGACGUUAGCGGCGGACGGGUGAGUAACACGUGGAUAACCUACCUAUAAGACUGGGAUAACUUCGGGAAACCGGAGCUAAUACCGGAUAAUAUAUUGAACCGCAUUGUUCAAUAGUGAAAGACGGUUUUGCUGUCACUUAUACAUGGAUCCGCGCCGCAUUAGCUAGUUGGUAAGGUAACGGCUUACCAAGGCAACGAUGGGUAGCCGACCUGAGAGGGUGAUAGGCCACACGGGAACUGAGACACGGUCCAGACUCCUACGGGAGGCAGCAGUAGGGAAUCGUCCGCAAAGGGCGAAAGCCUGACGGAGCAACGCCGCGUGAGUGAUGAAGGUCUUCGGAUCGUAAAACUCUGUUAUUAGGGAAGAACAAAUGUGUAAGUAACUAUGCACGUCUUGACGGUACCUACUCAGAAAGCCACGGCUAACUACGUG
RNAcentral lists this ribosomal RNA (497 nucleotides) under uncultured bacterium. RNAcentral describes it as "partial 16S ribosomal RNA". It matches the Rfam family "Bacterial small subunit ribosomal RNA", at positions 28 to 507 of the family's 1533-position model. The record is from RNAcentral.